Molecule: long non-coding RNA, 3943 nt
Organism: Brassica napus (rape)
Lineage: Eukaryota; Viridiplantae; Streptophyta; Magnoliopsida; Brassicales; Brassicaceae
Exons: 3
Source: RefSeq, a predicted model, not a curated record
AUUUUUAUUUUGAUUUGAUUUGGAUAACAAUGUUAAGAAUCCGGUAAAAUUCCGAGUUCAAUUUGGUUAUGUAACUAUUCUCACUUUUUUGUAAUAAAUUAGCAUUAUUCAGAUAAAUUUAAAUAUUUCAAAUAAAAGAUAUUUGGGUGAUUCAGUUCCAUCAGGAAAUUUGAAUUUUUUAAAUUUGAAUUCAUUUUAGAGAAUUUGUGGUGGAUAACCACAAAAACAAAUUUAAUUAGGUAGAUUGACAUGAUACUGUUGAUUUUUCAUAAUGCCAGUAGUAAUCAUAUUCUAACUUGCCGAUAGGCACAUGCAUAGGCCUAACACCCUUGUCUUUAUUUUUCAGAAUUUUUCAUUCACACACCAAAAUUAAUUAUGAAAUUUUUUUGAAACUUAAGCUGACUCUAUAUCUAUCGAGUCAUCUCGCUCUCUCUCUCUCUCUUUCUCUUUAUAUCUCUUCUUUUCUCUCUUCUUCCUCACCUCUCUCUAAAUAAAGAUCUGUUUUUUUUUUCAUGACAAAGGCUCUGAUGAAAUCCUGUAAACUUUAAAUUUUUCACUAGUUACUGAAUUUUCUUCAUUUUUUGGUGACAUAUAUGACUUGAGUCAUCUCUAUAUACAUGUGAAGAAUACAAGUAUUUCAAUCGCCGCUGCUCCACCAUCCUGGUAAGCGUCCGCCUUCGCCUCCACCGCCAUCAUCAUUGUAAGCCUUUAUCUCCACCACCGUGCUCCUGGAAUCGUCUUCGUUUAUCUUCUCAUUUUAUAUCAACUGGAUGUUUGAUUUGCUUUGGUACUGCGUUUGGUGAGUAAGAAAUGCGUCUUCAUGUUUUUUGUUUUUUCCUUAUUUUUGUUUUGUUUUUUUGUUGAUCUGAUUUAUCGUAUUUUUUCUUCUUUGUUCGGUUUAUGUGAGACACGGAUUGGAAAGUAAAUUCCUUUGUUUUUGUUAGAUGUUAAGGCUAUUAUAAGUAUGAUCCGACAGAACUAUGCAAUAUCCGGUUAUAAGAUCCAUGUAUAAACUCUACUUCAUAUAUUCUAAUAACUCAAUUUGGCCAUCUACAAUAUUUUUCACAUUCAAUUUAGUAUAAUUAAUUUUGUCCACCACAAAUAACCAGUUUAGUUUUACAAAAUUCGGAUAGAAGAAAAAAUACUUCGAUAUUCAACUUAUAUAUUUUGAAUACUAAAAAACUGAAAAUUUACCAAGUCACACAAAUAAAUACAUAAAUCUACAUGAAGAUCACAAACUCCUCUUAUACACUAAAUCCUAAACACUAAAAUCUUGAUCUUUGGGUAAACCAUAUGGUUUUUCCAAAGCUUUAGGGUUUAGUGUUUUUAAGAUUUAGUGUUUAAAGUUUAUGAUUUAUGGUUUAAGAUUUACCCAAGAGUUUAGGGUUUGAGACUUAGGGUCUAGUGUUUUGCUAACGGCGUUAACAAUGUUAAAAAAAAUUAAUAAAAAGGGUAAAAAUAAAUAAAAAAUAGUACUAGUUGCCAAAAAAAAAAUUUUUGUUUAAAUAUUGUUAACGUCGUCAGCAAAACACUAAACAAAAUUUUUGUUUAAAUAUUGUUAACGUCGUCAGCAAAACACUAAACUCUAAAUCCUAAACACUAAAUAGUAAGCACUAAAAUCUAAAUCUUUGGGUAAACCAUAAACCCUAGGAUUUAGGAUUAUAUCAAAGGUCUAAUAUUUACGGUUUAGUGUUUUUAAGAUUAAGUGUUUAAUGUUUAUGAUUUAUGGUUUAGGAUUUACCCAAAGGUUUAUGGUUUACCCAAGGGUUUAGGUUUAGGGUUUAUUGUUUAGGAUUUAGGGUCUAGUUUUCACCAAUAUAUAAUUUCAAUUGAAGUCGUUUAGAUACAUGUAUGUACUCGUUUGCACCAAUAUAUAAUUUCAAUUGAAGCCCGUUAUUAAUUCAGUAAACCAUAUAAAUAGUUUUUAUUUAGUGUAUUCAUAUUAUAUCGAUAUAGUUCAUAGUUGUGUUAGACCAAGUGUUGACAAAGUUAUUUCACUCAUAUUUUUCUUCUAGAUAAUAUUACCUAAAAAUGGAUAGUAAAAACGAUACCCGGUUACAUUCUAUUUGGGUUUACCAAUAUGUACUAUGCUAUUUAUUUUGUUCUAUUCUAUUUGGGUUUAGGGUUUAUAUAUUUGAAUUUAUGGUUUAUAUUUGGGUUUAAAUUUAAUGAUUAGGGUUUUGGGUUUAUAUUUAGGUUUAGGGUUUAGUGAUUAGAGCUCAUACAAAGGGCUCUUGUUAUGAUCUACGAGUUCCACCUGUAGCUUCAGAGUCUAAUCUCACAAUUCAAUGUUAUUUUCUUAAAAACAUUGCUAUUUGCUUUUCAAUUUUUAUAACCAAUUUCUAAUUUUCUCUAUUAAACUUUGUUCGAACAUCAUGCAUUUCUUCUCGUGCUCUUAUUUGUUUUACAUGGGCUCACACAUCUUCUACUAUAAUACAUUUCCUUAAUGCUUUAUACCCGGUUAUUAUUCUGUAUAUAACCAUAUAUAUAUAACCUUGCGGGUUCAGCGUUUCAUAUUUCAUUUUUUCGGAUACUAUGCAUGGAAACCGGUCAGAACCAUUCUCAAUAUUUGUAUGUGGGCCCUAAAUUAGAUGUAAGUUACAUAAUGUAAUUUUUCAGGCAUCUAAAUAACAACUUCAUACACGCUCUUCAUUUCACAGCCUACAUGGAUGACGAUUAUUCUCAUGUUUUAUUCUAUCUGAUAUUACAACCGGUUAUCCACUCGAUUUACCAAUUUGGGCUUUUGAAAUCCGGUUUUGAUCUUUCUUAUGAUUGACAGUUGUCGCUUACGCUGAACUUUUAAUAACAGUUCAGUAGAUGUAUUUUUUUCAACACCCACAAUUCAACUGUUGGCUGACACAUAUAUCCACUCCUUUUUUACUUUCAUAACAUUAGCCCUGUUCUUUUCAUAGCCGCUGCGGCCGGUUAGCGACAAAAAAUAACAUUUAGGUGGAGACAAGAUGAUCGAUUUUGAAAGUGAAUUAAACUACCGGAACUUGCCGCAGCGACUAAAAAUGAAGACGCUGCCAUCGCUGAUAUUUCCAGCGUCUAAUUUUGUUAUUGCGUCUAACCGCGUGGCUGAAAAAGUAUGCUUGUCUUGUGUUAACGGCGCUGCAUUUCCGAUGGCGAGGAUGUACUUUUCAGUUACUGACGCUGGUCCCCAGCGUUCGUAAAAAGAACAAUAUCUGCUCUUCUAAACACAUCAAAAGCUUCUCUCACACGCUUAACAUUUCACAAACAUAAGGAGUCGUAGGAGUGUCAGAGGUCACUGAGGGCAAAGUUUUCAUUGAUCGCAUGACCAUCUACCGAUUCACAAAUUAUUAAAAAAUUUACACACUUACCUAAUUUCCUCUCACAAUUUGUAUAUUGGCCUCAUUGACCCUUCAUUUUAUUUGUAUUUUAAAUUUUGUAUCUACGAAUGAAAUGGUUAAAUUUGAAUCCAAGUGGGCUUCUGACACAUGGCCCACUUGUAAAUUUGUAUCUACGAAUGAAAUGAAAUGGUUAAAUUUGUAUAUACGAAUGAAACGAAAUUUUGUUCUUUUGUAUCUACAAAUGAAAUGAAAUGGUUAAAUUUGAAUCCAAGUGGGCUUCUGAUGCAUGGCACUAGACAUUAGAAAGGUUUUAGACUUAUCCCCUAUAUAUUAAGCAUGGAACAUUGUUUUCUUAACCACGUAUCAUUACUAAGAUGAUUCUUAGAAUCAUUGAAAAUAUAUAUUUAUAUUGACCAAUUUAUUUUUAUUAAACUAACUAUCAAAUUGAUUAUUGGGACAUUUGGUAAAACCAAUCCAAAUAUUCAAGUCAAACCUAAAAGUGUACCCCACUUUCAGUCAAAUGCAAAACCAACCUAGAGGGAUAGUAAAAGUACUAUUUAACCCUUAUGACCAAACAAAAAAACAUAAAUGUAUUUUACGUUUCUAUCCUUCGUAAGUCUACAUGUAAUAAA